UACCCGCUGAACUUAAGCAUAUCAAUAAGCGGAGGAAAAGAAACCAACCGGGAUUACCUCAGUAACGGCGAGUGAAGCGGUAACAGCUCAAAUUUGAAAUCUGGCUCCUCUGGAGUCCGAGUUGUAAUUUGUAGAAGAUGCUUUGGGUUGUGGGUUCGGCCUAAGUUCCUUGGAACAGGACGUCAUAGAGGGUGAGAAUCCCGUAUGCGGCCGAGGCCCGCGCCUAUGUAAAGCUCUUUCAACGAGUCGAGUUGUUUGGGAAUGCAGCUCAAAAUGGGUGGUAAAUUUCAUCUAAAGCUAAAUAUGGGCCAGAGACCGAUAGCGCACAAGUAGAGUGAUCGAAAGAUGAAAAGCACUUUGGAAAGAGAGUUAAACAGUACGUGAAAUUGUUGAAAGGGAAGCGCUUGCACCCAGACUUGGGCGCUGCUGAUCACCUUGCGGUCUCCGCGAGUGCACUCGACAGCGCACAGGCCAGCAUCGGUUCGGGUGGCUGGAUAAAGGCCGUAGGAACGUAGCUCCCUUCGGGGAGUGUUAUAGCCUAGGGUGCCAUGCAGCCCAGCCGGACCGAGGACCGCGCCUUCGGGCUAGGAUGCUGGCGUAUGAGAUAACAACUAAACGUGUU
Molecule: ribosomal RNA, 622 nt
Filed under: Erysiphe palczewskii
Lineage: Eukaryota; Fungi; Ascomycota; Leotiomycetes; Helotiales; Erysiphaceae
Description: partial large subunit ribosomal RNA
Rfam family: Eukaryotic large subunit ribosomal RNA
Source: RNAcentral